Long non-coding RNA from Felis catus (domestic cat), 878 nucleotides. RefSeq lists it as uncharacterized. The record is from RefSeq and is a predicted model, not a curated record. The transcript has 2 exons. Lineage: Eukaryota; Metazoa; Chordata; Mammalia; Carnivora; Felidae.
CUCAAAACAGAGGUGAGGUUUUGCCUUUCUGUGGUUGCUUUCAGUGUCGAGAACCUGGCCCACCUUCCUCAACUGUUGUAGUGGGGCUAAAGGGUGGCCCCCGAAAGACGCGCCAGCACCGAAUGUUACCUUACACGAGCGAGGCAAAGGCACGUGUUUGCCAGAUGGGAGAGGAGAAGGUGAUAUGAAGGCUCAGACAGAGAUUGGAAUACUACAGUUGCAAGCCAAGGAACAGCAGAGAUUGCCAGGAGCCAGCCGAGCCGGAGGAGGCAAAACACAGAUUCUCCCCUAGAACCUCCAGAGGGAGCAUGGCCCUGCUGACCUUGAUUUCAGACUCUGGCCUUCAGAACUAUGAGAAAACACACUUCCGUUGUUUAAAGCCACCCAGCGUGUGGUGAUUCGCUAUAGCAGCCCCCAAAGCGAAUGCAACCAUGAAGAAAAUUAUUGCAGAUUCUGAGAAGUAAUCCAACUUGCCCCACCUCAGGGCCUUUGCACAUACUGACCUUUCCACUGCCAUUCUCUGUCCCAGCUCACUGCAUGCCCAGCUCCUUCUCAUAAUUCCUGUUUCUGCUCAAAUGUCACCUCCCUUCCUCCCAAGGGAGGCCAAAAGACUUCCCUGACCCCCAGUUCCUAAUAGAAGGAGCUACCACUCACCCUCUAGGCCUUACCACAUUUUACGGUUCCCUUGUCCUUACCAUAAUAUAAAAUGAUCUGUCAGUUGAUCCACUUAUUGUCUACAUGCGAGUGGGAACCUGAUCUGUCUUGUUCAUGGCUAUAUUCCCAGUGCCAAGGGGCUAAAUAAGUAUGUGUUCAAUAAAAGGAAUUAAUGUUAUUUGAUACUAAAACACAGAGAAACGCAACCUCUGUAUGACAAAACU